Molecule: long non-coding RNA, 491 nt
Filed under: Musa acuminata (dwarf banana)
Lineage: Eukaryota; Viridiplantae; Streptophyta; Magnoliopsida; Zingiberales; Musaceae
Description: long non-coding RNA (MACU_LNC001603)
Source: RNAcentral
GGAUUCAGACUCAACAACAAUUGCAGAGUCUUUAUCUAUCCGGAGUUGGAGUCUCAGGCAGCCUCCCUAUUUGGUUUUCAAAUUUCUCAAAAGGUUUGGAAAUUCUUAACUUGAGCUCCAACUAUUUGACUGGUCAAUUACCUUCUCCUCCCCAAUUCAUAUUGGAUCUCUCCAACAACUCAUUUGUCGGACCUAUUCCAUCGAGCUUCGAAGAAGGUGCAAGUCUCGUUUUGUUAUCUUUGUCACAUAAUCAUAUCAAUGGUGAUUUCCCUUCCUUCUUUUGUAAUAUGAAUUUCCUUGAAGUUCUCGACCUAUCUAACAAUCACUUAAUUGGAAAAAUCCCGAAUUGUCAUAACUCAUUUCCAACCUUUCUACAAUCUUUGCAUUUAAAUAAUAACAACCUAUCCGGAACGAUUCCUUCAUUUUUGAAAUACUGUAACAAUUUAAUUACCGUUGAUUUAGGUGAAAAUAAAUUAUUUAGUAAAAUUCCC